Molecule: ribosomal RNA, 305 nt
Filed under: uncultured bacterium
Lineage: Bacteria
Description: bacterial SSU rRNA
Rfam family: Bacterial small subunit ribosomal RNA
Source: RNAcentral
UUCCUACGGGGGGCAGCAGUGGGGAAUAUUGCACAAUGGGGGAAACCCUGAUGCAGCGACGCCGCGUGAGUGAAGAAGUAUUGCGGUAUGUAAAGCUCUAUCAGCAGGGAAGAAAUACUGACCUUACGGUCAGCAGACGGUACCUGACUAAGAAGCCCCGGCUAACUACGUGCCAGCAGCCGCGGUAAUACGUAGGGGGCAAGCGUUAUCCGGAAUUACUGGGUGUAAAGGGAGCGUAGACGGUUAAGUAAGUCUGGAGUGAAAGGCCGGGGCCCAACCCCGGGACUGCUCUGGAAACUAUUGAA